Non-coding RNA from Pelobates cultripes (western spadefoot toad), 334 nucleotides. NCBI's taxonomy places the organism in Eukaryota, Metazoa, Chordata, Amphibia, Anura, Pelobatidae. The record is from the annotation of a GenBank genome assembly.
AGGACUGCCUGACACCCCAGGCAGUCCCCUUCCUGCAAUUUAGGCCCCUGCAGGCCAAGGGCCAGAUUAAGAGCCAAGUGGACCUGGUGCUGACAAUUAUGAUGGGCCUAAUGACAAAAUAUUAUCGACCAAAAACACUAAAACAGUCCUACCUCCCAAGCGUCAUCUAUCUGAUGGAGAUGGUGCUUGAGGGAAACUCAUAGGAUAUAGCUAUGAGACAACACAUACCCUAUGCUAAUCUCACACUUUUGUCUUUCAAGUAAAUCCAUACCGCCUAACAUCAGUGUACAGGAAGUCUAUGGACAGGGUAAAAGGGUGGGCCACUGACACAAAC